UUAAUAUGAUCGAAAAAGUAUACGAAACCUUCGCAGUCGAGUAAAAAACGGGAAAAACAUUAUUGGAACGCAUCUGUCAGGUGAAUCAGCUGUUCAGAGUUUGUUCAUGGACGAGAGACAAUGCUCCUCCGUCUCUUUUUCCAGAUUUUAUAAGCUCACACGUCGCUGGGAUCCGCAUUGCGCCGUCAGAGGAGGGAUUUGUAGUUCGCCGAGUGGAGGGAGUAAGUUGCGACAUCCCGUGAGCCAAAAUGGAUCCACAAGCGGGCAUGGACAUCGUCACACCCUUCCCGACGAUAUACCCACCGACCGAUGACUACAGCGACCUCAAAGUAAGCCCCGACAAAAGAAGUGUAACCAGUACGUGUUGCAGAACAAGACCCACUUUAUCUACGGGGGCUAUGAGGGCAUUCCCGAGAACUUGUUGAUUAACUUCUUGGGGUGGAUUUUGCUCAUGUGUCUGUUUACGGUGUUGAGAAAAAAGGCGUGGAAUUAUGGCCGUUUGGCGCUUGUUCAGAAGUACGAGAGUAGGACAAAGCAUCUUGGCUUCAGUCAGUACAAUGUGUGGACACAAAUCUUCUACGGGAAGGACAGCGACAUGGGCAAGAUUGCUGGGGAGAAUGACUCCGUGAGUUCCUUGGAGUUCAACACGCACAUUGACAAAGGGCUGUUCUCGUGGAUUCCGGCCCUGUUUAAGAUCAAAGAUGAGCAGAUCCUAGCCAAGAGUGGUAAGGACGCGGUGCAGUACCUGUCCUUCCAGUCGCACAUCAUUGUGUACAUGAUGAUCGUGUGUGUCAUCAGCAUUGUGAUCGUACUGCCCAUCAACUUCCAGGGGACGCUGGAGGGGGGUGAGAAGGAGUUCGGUCACACCACCCUCGCUAAUCUUGCGCCUCAGUCACGGUUGAUGUGGGUCCACGUGACGCUUGCUUUCCUCUUUCUCCCGCUUGGCAUCUUGUUCACCCGGCGAUUCUCCAAAAAGCUGGAGCUGAAGGAGGUGGCCACCACCGUCUCGCGCACUCUCAUGAUCACCCAUGUGCCAAGGAGGUCUUGCCACAAAGACACGCUCCUGAGACACUUCCAAGAAGCUUACCCAGAUAUAGAGGUCACAGAUGUUCAGUUCGCAUACAACAUUCGGUCACUCCAAGCCUUUGCAAAAGAAAAGGAAGUGGCUCAUAAUGCAAGGAUAUACUGUGAAUCUUACAUGAAGGAGACUCACAGACGGCUUGAUAUGAGACCUUACAAGGGGGGUGUUGUGUGCGGCUGCUGUGACAUCUUUGGCUGUCCGACGGUGGAUGCCAUUGAGUAUUACACGGAGGAGGAAAACCGUCUGGCCAACGAGGUGGAGAAUGAAAAGCUGAAGGCCCUGCAGAGGCCAACCGGCGUGGCGUUUGUCACCUUCGAUAGCAUAGAGAAUGCCAAGAGAGUCCUCCAAGACCACAGGGCAAAGUGUGACUGCUUCUACAGCCCUCCCACGUCCUCUGCCUCGGUUGACCUCAAGCCACACAACUGGAUCAUCAGGGUUGCUCCAGUGCCGGAUGAUAUUUAUUGGCACAACCUGUCCGUCACUACACGUCACUGGUGGCUGAAGGCUAUCCUGAUCAACAUCAUGUUAUUUUUGGUGUUGUUCUUCCUCACAACACCUGCUGUUAUCAUCAAUGGUCUGGAUAUUGUUCCCCUGACUGGGCGACUCAGUAACAUGAGCCCAGUGCUGUCAGAGUUCUUGCCCACCCUGCUCCUGUGGACCAUGGCUGCCCUCCUGCCAGUGAUCGUGUCGUACUCGGACCAGUUCAUGUCUCAUUGGACGCGCUCUGCCGAAAACCACUCCAUCAUGAGGAAGACCUUUGUGUUUCUUCUGUUCAUGGUCAUUAUCCUCCCUUCUCUAGGACUCACCAGUGCCAAGGGUUUCAUGGAAUGGCUCAUCCAGUCACAGUCUCAGAACGAGACCUUCCGCUGGGAAUGUAUCUUCCUCCCCGAUAAUGGUGCGUUCUUCGUCAAUUACAUCAUCACCUCGGCAUUCAUCGGAACAUCGCUCGAGUUGAUUCGAUUCCCGGAGUUAUUUAUGUACAUGGUUCGGCUUGGGCUGUCGAGAUCUGAAGCAGAGACAGCAAGCGUUAGAAAAGCUAUUCUCUACGAGUUCCCAUUUGGUGUGCAGUAUGCCUGGAUGCUGCUUAUUUUCGCCAUGACCAUCAUUUACUCUGUUUCUUGUCCUCUUAUCACACCCUUUGGUACUCUGUACAUGAUCUUCAAGCACCUGGUUGACAAGUAUAAUAUAUACUUUGCCUAUGGACCUUCAAGAAUUAAUAAGAACAUUCAUACCUCAGCCAUUAAUUUUGUGAUAGUCUCAAUUGUGUGUCUGCAGUUAAGCUUGCUCUUCUUCUCUCUUGUGAGGCAAGGGUUGAAAAAAGAUAUAACUAUAUACAGCAUUAUUCUGCUGAUUAUAACAUGCGUCGUAUUUAUCACACACAAUGCAUUCCAUUGGUUCAAGGAUCUUAGUCCAGUGGAAUACAAGAAAUUUGGAAAUGGAACUGCCAAUGGCGAUACUACAUCAGUCAAUGAUGAUGAAAGCACAACAGAAGUGGCAUGCCAGUUUGUGCCAGCUGUGUUACGAGAUGCUCCCAGUGGAGUGGAGAGCAGCUAUGACUAUAUAAACCAGCCACGGAGCUAUGGCACACGGCCCAGAGAUGAAAACGGGCUGACGAAUGAAGCAGGGGUUAGGAGUGAUGAAGACAGCCCGCGGGCUAGACAAUCUAGUCUCUAUCAAGAUUAUUCCCAAGCAAAGCACCUUGCUGCUCCAGUGUUGGUACAGUAAAUAUUACUGAGGACAGUUUCACGGAUAGUACAGCUAAGGGGCAAGGGCAAAGCACCUAGAUGACCUAGUAUAAAGAGUCUUCCUAAAAAUAGUUCUGAAGGUGACGACAAAAGU
Molecule: unclassified non-coding RNA, 2920 nt
Filed under: Penaeus monodon (black tiger shrimp)
Lineage: Eukaryota; Metazoa; Arthropoda; Malacostraca; Decapoda; Penaeidae
Description: calcium permeable stress-gated cation channel 1-like, transcript variant X4
Source: RNAcentral